Molecule: ribosomal RNA, 207 nt
Filed under: uncultured bacterium
Lineage: Bacteria
Description: partial 16S ribosomal RNA
Rfam family: Bacterial small subunit ribosomal RNA
Source: RNAcentral
UGCGUAGGUGGUUAUUUAAGUCCGUUGUGAAAGCCCUGGGCUCAACCUGGGAACUGCAGUGGAUACUGGAUGAUUAGAAUGUGGUAGAGGGUAGCGGAAUUCCUGGUGUAGCAGUGAAAUGCGUAGAGAUCAGGAGGAACAUCCAUGGCGAAGGCAGCUACCUGGACCAACAUUGACACUGAGGCGAAAGACGUGGGGAGCGAAACA